AUGCACAAAUCAUUGUCCUGCUCUUCUCUUUUUAGAGUAAUGAUAUUUCUUUUGUGCUAGAACAAAAUGGAGGUAAAUUAACAGUACUGGCUACAUGUGCCACUACUGCCAGUCCCCUUCACACAAUC
Gymnodraco acuticeps is the source of this 128-nucleotide small nucleolar RNA. Lineage: Eukaryota; Metazoa; Chordata; Actinopteri; Perciformes; Bathydraconidae. The record is from RefSeq and is a predicted model, not a curated record.